RNAcentral lists this non-coding RNA (1061 nucleotides) under Homo sapiens (human). Lineage: Eukaryota; Metazoa; Chordata; Mammalia; Primates; Hominidae. The record is from RNAcentral.
UGAAUGGGAGCUACGGACACCGUACCCCGGGCUCAGAGAAGAGCCUGCUGGACCUGGACCUUGCUGAGGGCCCUGGCCCCACCUGCUGCCAGGGCCUGUUUCUCCCUGCAGGAAGCCCACCGCCCCGGGCUCACCCCCAAGCUUGUGAGAGGCUGCUGCAUUUCCCCCACCCUGACAGGUCACCUAGACCCCAGGCCACGUAUGUGAACGGCAGCCUCCCAACCACACAACACAUCAAACAGGAGUCCUUGCCCGACUACCAAGCCAUGGCAGAGGCCCGCACAUCCCUGUCUGCCCACUGUCGGGGCCCGCUGGCCACUGGCCUGCACCCAGACCUGGACCUCCCGGGCCGAAGCCUCGCCACCCCUGCGCCUUCCUGCUACCUUCUGGGCAGCGAACCCAGCUCUGGCCUGGGCCUCCAGCCCGAGACCCACCUCCCCGAGGGCAGCCUGAAGCGGUGCUGCGUCUUGGGCCUACCCCCCACCUCCCCAGCCUCCUCCUCACCCUGUGCCUCCUCCGACGUCACCUCCAUCAUCCGCUCCUCCCAGACGUCUCUGGUCACCUGUGUAAAUGGACUCCGGAGCCCCCCUCUGACGGGAGAUCUGGGGGGCCCUUCCAAGCGGGCCCGGCCUGGCCCUGCAUCGACGGACAGCCAUGAGGGCAGCUUGCAACUUGAAGCCUGCCGGAAGGCGAGCUUCCUGAAGCAGGAACCCGCGGAUGAGUUUUCAGAGCUCUUUGGGCCUCACCAGCAGGGCCUGCCGCCCCCCUAUCCCCUGUCUCAGUUGCCGCCUGGCCCAAGCCUUGGAGGCCUGGGGCUGGGCCUGGCAGGCAGGGUGGUGGCCGGGCGGCAGGCGUGCCGCUGGGUGGACUGCUGUGCAGCCUAUGAGCAGCAGGAGGAGCUGGUGCGGCACAUCGAGAAGAGCCACAUCGACCAGCGCAAGGGCGAGGACUUCACCUGCUUCUGGGCUGGCUGCGUGCGCCGCUACAAGCCCUUCAACGCCCGCUACAAGCUGCUCAUCCACAUGCGAGUGCACUCGGGCGAGAAGCCCAACAAGUGCAUG